GUGAGGAAUUUUCCGCAAUGGGCGAAAGCCUGACGGAGCAAUGCCGCGUGAAGGAUGAAGGCCUAUGGGUUGUAAACUUCUUUUCUCAGAAAAGAAUUAUGACGGUAUCUGAGGAAUAAGCAUCGGCUAACUCUGUGCCAGCAGCCGCGGUAAGACAGAGGAUGCAAGCGUUAUCCGGAAUGAUUGGGCGUAAAGCGUCUGUAGGUUGUUUAAAAAGUAUUCUGUCAAAGAUUAGGGCUUAACCCUAGAUAGGCAGAAUAAACUUUUAAGCUAGAGUAUGGUAGAGGCAGAGGGAAUUCCCGGUGGAGCUGUGAAAUGCGUAGAUAUCGGGAGGAACACCAAAGGCGAAGGCACUCUGCUGGGCCAAUACUAACACUGAGAGACGAAAGCGAGGGGAGCAAAUGGGAUUAGAAACCCGGGUAGUCC
RNAcentral lists this ribosomal RNA (426 nucleotides) under uncultured bacterium. RNAcentral's name for it is "partial 16S ribosomal RNA". It matches the Rfam family "Bacterial small subunit ribosomal RNA", at positions 354 to 796 of the family's 1533-position model. The record is from RNAcentral.